UUGGGUUGCUGAAUUAGAGAUCGGCACCCGUUUAAUUAUCUAUAAUAUUUUGGAGUAAGAUUAUGUCUCUAAGCGUUGAAGCUAAGGCUCAGAUCGUUUCCGACUUCGGUCGCGGCACU
Molecule: regulatory RNA element, 119 nt
Organism: Rahnella aquatilis
Lineage: Bacteria; Pseudomonadati; Pseudomonadota; Gammaproteobacteria; Enterobacterales; Yersiniaceae
Rfam family: Ribosomal S15 leader
About the family: The E. coli Ribosomal S15 gene 5' UTR can form two alternative structures.
Source: Rfam